AUGAUGGUGGUGAUUGUGGUGGUGGUGAUGAUGGUGGUGAUUGUGGUGGUGGUGAUUGUGGUGGGGGUGAUGAUGGUGGUGAUUGUGGUGGUGGUAAUGAUGGUGGUGAUUGUGAUGGUGAUGAUGGUGGUGGUGAUUGUGGUGGUGGUGAUGAUGGUGGUGAUUGUGAUGGUGGUGAUGAUGGUGGUGGUGAUGAUGGUGGUGAUGAUGGUGGUGAUUGUGGUGGUGGUGGUGAUGAUGGUGGUGAUUGAGAGGAUUGUGGCCUGGGUUGUGCUGGCACCAGAGCCCGGCUGUGUGGGUUUACACAGUCACUGGACACCCGGCUCGAGGGCGAAGUCCUCGGGUGCUGCUUGGCAGGGGUAUUGCCGGGAGGUAGCCCAGGCACUGCUGAAUCUCAGCCUGGAGAGCCUCAUGCCUCGGCGGGAGGGGUCCCAUGUGCAGACCCUGCUGGCCUCCGGAGAGACCCCUGACCGGCCUCCCAUCCUCUCCCCAGGGCAGAGCGGCUUGGGUAAAUCCACCUUAAUCAACACCCUCUUCAAAUCCAAAAUCAGCCGGAAGUCGGUGCAGCCCACCUCGGAGGAGCGUAUCCCCAAGACCAUCGAGAUCAAGUCCAUCACGCACGAUAUUGAGGAGAAAGGCGUCCGGAUGAAGCUGACAGUGAUUGACACACCAGGGUUCGGGGACCCACAUCAACAACGAGAACUGUUGGCAGCCCAUCAUGAAGUUCAUCAAUGACCAGUAUGAGAAAUAACUGCAGGAGGAGGUCAACAUCAACCGCAAGAAGCGCAUCCCGGACACCCGCGUCCACUGCUGCCUCUACUUCAUCCCAGCCACCGGCCACUCCCUCAGGCCCCUGGACAUCGAGUUUAUGAAACGCCUGAGCAAGGUGGUCAACAUCGUCCCUGUCAUCUCCAAGGCUGACACACUCACCCUGGAGGAGAGGGUCCACUUCAAACAGCGGAUCACCGCGGACCUGCUGUCCAACGGCAUCGACGUGUACCCCCAAAAGGAGUUUGACGAGGACUCAGAGGACCGGCUGGUGAAUGAGAAGUUCCGGGAGAUGAUCCCGUUUGCUGUGGUGGGCAGUGACCACGAGUACCAGGUCAACGGCAAGAGGAUCCUUGGGAGGAAGACCAAGUGGGGCACCAUUGAAGUUGAAAACACCACACACUGUGAGUUUGCCUACCUGCGGGACCUUCUCAUCAGGACGCACAUGCAGAACAUCAAGGAUAUCACCAGCAGCAUCCACUUCGAGGCCUACCGCGUGAAGCGCCUCAACGAGGGCAGCAGCGCCAUGGCCAACGGCGUGGAGGAGAAGGAGCCAGAAGCCCCGGAGAUGUAGACGCCGCCCUGCCCACCCCCGGGAUCCUGCCCCCAAGUCUUUUCCAUCCCCCCCAGGCCCUCCCACUGCCCCAUUUUAUUUUAUAUUAUUUUCUCCAUUUGUCAUCAUUCCCCAUCCCUUCCACACGCUGCCAGGAAACAAGGGAAGGGGCCUCCCUCCGAGUGAGUCAGUGAUGAGCCCGCAGCCUCCCCCAGGUUGUGGGGAGGCUGCGCUGGAGCCAGAAGCAGGGGUGAGAGCACCCACUGAAUUGAUGUGACCCUCCGUCCCCAGGCCUGGCUCCCCGAGGGCUCAGAAGAGCAGCUUCGGUGUGCAGAUCAUCCGUCUGCGUGGGAUUCUCAGUGCCGGAGGCCUUGGGGUGGGGGCCAGGCCUUGCACACGCAGAGGGGACCAGUGGGCUGCAUGAUCCCCUCCAUCCCCAUCGGCCCUGUCCCCUGGAGUGUGUCAGAGCCCAGGGGAGAAUGCAGCCCACCAGGGUCACCUGGACCUCCUGACCGCCACAUGGCGUGGCCAUCACUCAGCCCCCACCCCUGCCCUGCUCCUAAGGGUAGAAAAUUCCAGGACCCCCUUUCACCGACUGCCCAGCCACUCCAAGCCCCCUGGCAGCUGCCCCUCCUGGAGCAGAAAGUGCCUUUAUCUCAGCCAUCCGCAGGCUGCUCAGCCAGAUGCGGGGACAGGCUGGAAUGAGGGAGGUGUCUUCAUCUCCCUGCCAUCCCCCUCUCACGCCACCCCCUCCCACCGGGCUGCAGGUGCUGCUGAUGCGCUGGGAUCUGAUUGAGGAUAAAAAGGAAGGAGAGAUGACCCCUACCCCCUCAUCCCCCAGUUUUGAAAAGGUCCAAGCAAGUGAGUCUGGUGGAGGAGCUGAGGGAGGGAGCCAUGGAAGGUGCCAGAAGGAAGGUUGGCGGGGGCACAUGUGGGCCGUGGCUUGGGCUGGUCAGAGUGGCCUGAGCUGCCCGGUGCCUGCCCCGCCCAAGUGACCAGGGAAGUGUGUGUGUGUCCAUGUGUAUGCGUGUCCGUCUGUCUGUCUAGUGUCUGGGUUUGGCCCAAGACUGGGCUGUGGUUACAUUAAUGCCCAGCCAGCCACCCCCACCACUCACCCCUCCUGGCCCAGGCCUUACUGACUCUGUGACCUGGGGAGGUGGGAGGCCAGGCGAACCUGACUCUGUUGUCCUACCCCUGCCUGGGCCCUUCUCCUCAGAGCCCAUGGUAACGAACCCCUAGAAAAGAGAGACCGGGCGUCAGGGGUGCACAGUCCACAGUGAGCUGAAGAGUGAGGUUUCAUGGCAGCACGGCCCAGCCCCUCACCCUCCAUCCCCAUGAGGGGACCCGUGUGGGCUGUCUUUGCAGGGCACAGAUGACCAAAGUCCCUUCCUGCUUCCUGUUCUCUGUCUUGCUCCUGGGGAGAAAGAGGGACCCGAUGAGACUUCACACAGGUGCACACAUCACCGGGUGCAUCUGCAGGCACCGGGCUGGCUGCUUGCAGCCAGGAGAAGGUCAGCGAGAGGGAGUGUGAGUGUGUGUGCAUGGAAGUUGGGGCACUGGGCGUCUGACUCCCUCCCCACCCAAGAGAGAAAGGACCCCUCACCAUCCCCACUGGCGAGACAGUUUACUUGCCAACUUGCCAUGUUUUUGCCAAAACCAAGAUUUUGAAGGAAAUGAGUGGCCAGUGCCAGGGCCCAGGCCAUGUGGCCCGCCCAGCCUCAAUGUCACUUGGUGGCGGGGUGGGGUGGGGGGUGGGCAGCAGCAUCCCAGCCUUGAGAUGCUUCACUUUCCUUUUCUGUAACCAGACUUCGAAAAAUCGUUCGUUUCUUCAGGCUCUGUUCCUCAAUGGCCUUUUGCUACGUGCCUCCCGAGAAAUUUGUCUCUUUUUGUAUAAAUGACAAAGUAUUGAAAAUGUAUUUCCUGAAAUAAAUGUUUCAAAUGCAGAAACCCA
This is an RNA transcript of Nomascus leucogenys (northern white-cheeked gibbon), 3272 nucleotides long. It is a transcript of the gene named septin-9-like, with no coding region annotated. The transcript is spliced from 9 exons. The record is from RefSeq and is a predicted model, not a curated record. NCBI's taxonomy places the organism in Eukaryota, Metazoa, Chordata, Mammalia, Primates, Hylobatidae.